RNAcentral lists this ribosomal RNA (503 nucleotides) under uncultured bacterium. RNAcentral's name for it is "partial 16S ribosomal RNA". It matches the Rfam family "Bacterial small subunit ribosomal RNA", at positions 30 to 523 of the family's 1533-position model. The record is from RNAcentral.
AUUGAACGCUGGCGGCAGGCCUAACACAUGCAAGUCGAACGGUAGCACAGAGAGCUUGCUCUCGGGUGACGAGUGGCGGACGGGUGAGUAACGUCUGGGAAACUGCCCGAUGGAGGGGAAUAACUACUGGAAACGGUAGCUAAUACCGCAUAACGUCGCAAGACCAAAGUGGGGGACCUUCGGCCUCACACCAUCGGAUGUGCCCAGAUGGGAUUAGCUAGUAGGUGGGGUAAUGGCUCACCUAGGCGACGAUCCCUAGCUGGUCUGAGAGGAUGACCAGCCACACUGGAACUGAGACACGGUCCAGACUCCUACGGGAGGCAGCAGUGGGGAAUAUUGCACAAUGGGCGCAAGCCUGAUGCAGCCAUGCCGCGUGUAUGAAGAAGGCCUUCGGGUUGUAAAGUACUUUCAGCGGGGAGGAAGGCGGUGAAGUUAAUAACUUCACCGAUUGACGUUACCCGCAGAAGAAGCACCGGCUAACUCCGUGCCAGCCGCCGCAGUAA